This 546-nucleotide ribosomal RNA is filed under the name uncultured Alkalispirillum sp. RNAcentral's name for it is "bacterial SSU rRNA". It matches the Rfam family "Bacterial small subunit ribosomal RNA", at positions 337 to 875 of the family's 1533-position model. The record is from RNAcentral. Lineage: Bacteria; Pseudomonadati; Pseudomonadota; Gammaproteobacteria; Chromatiales; Ectothiorhodospiraceae.
UCCUACGGGAGGCAGCAGUGGGGAAUAUUGGACAAUGGGCGAAAGCCUGAUCCAGCAAUGCCGCGUGUGUGAAGAAGGCCUGCGGGUUGUAAAGCACUUUCAGCAGGGAGGAAAAGCUUACGGUUAAUACCCGUGAGUCUUGACGUUACCUGCAGAAGAAGCACCGGCUAACUCCGUGCCAGCAGCCGCGGUAAUACGGAGGGUGCGAGCGUUAAUCGGAAUUACUGGGCGUAAAGCGCGCGUAGGCGGCCGGAUAAGUCGGGUGUGAAAGCCCUGGGCUCAACCUGGGAAUUGCAUCCGAUACUGUCGGGCUAGAGUCUGGUAGAGGGAAGUGGAAUUCCGGGUGUAGCGGUGAAAUGCGUAGAUAUCCGGAGGAACACCAGUGGCGAAGGCGACUUCCUGGACCAAGACUGACGCUGAGGUGCGAAAGCGUGGGUAGCAAACAGGAUUAGAUACCCUGGUAGUCCACGCCGUAAACGAUGAGAACUAGCCGUUGGGCUCAUUUAUGGGCUUAGUGGCGCAGCUAACGCAUUAAGUCUCCGCCUG